Molecule: ribosomal RNA, 303 nt
Filed under: Triticum aestivum (bread wheat)
Lineage: Eukaryota; Viridiplantae; Streptophyta; Magnoliopsida; Poales; Poaceae
Description: partial small subunit ribosomal RNA
Source: RNAcentral
AUGAGGAGGAGAUCGAAUCCUGCCCCGUAUGCAACGCUGCUCUCGGGAUUGCUCCUGAAGAGAAAACUCAGAGACGGAACUAUGGAGGUGGCCUCCAUCCUAAAGCUCAUUAUUCAAAAACUUGAGCUAGCAAGUAACGUUAUGGUGGAGAUCUUAUGCCAUGACAGGUCAGUCUGCCCCUCGACAACACUGCAGGGCCUCCUCAAGCGAUGGCUGAGCCGCAAACCGAAGGACAAAGUCCAGAGGCCGGUGGGGGCUCCGGCGGAUGAGUUCGUUAUUGCACUACCGGCACCUCCAAAAUGA